AUUGAACGCUGGCGGCAGGCCUAACACAUGCAAGUCGGACGGUAGCACAGGGGAGCUUGCUCCUCGGGUGACGAGUGGCGGACGGGUGAGUAAUGUCUGGGGAUCUGCCCGAUAGAGGGGGAUAACCACUGGAAACGGUGGCUAAUACCGCAUAAUGUCGCAAGACCAAAGAGGGGGACCUUCGGGCCUCUCACUAUCGGAUAAACCCAGAUGGGAUUAGCUAGCAGGCGGGGUAACGGCCCACCUAGGCGACGAUCCCUAGCUGGUCUGAGAGGAUGACCAGCCACACUGGAACUGAGACACGGUCCAGACUCCUACGGGAGGCAGCAGUGGGGAAUAUUGCACAAUGGGCGCAAGCCUGAUGCAGCCAUGCCGCGUGUAUGAAGAAGGCCUUCGGGUUGUAAAGUACUUUCAGCGGGGAGGAAGGCGAUGUGGUUAAUAACCGCGUCGAUUGACGUUACCCGCAGAAGAAGCACCGGCUAACUCCGUGCCAGCAGCCGCCGUAA
RNAcentral lists this ribosomal RNA (506 nucleotides) under uncultured bacterium. Its description in RNAcentral is "partial 16S ribosomal RNA". It matches the Rfam family "Bacterial small subunit ribosomal RNA", at positions 29 to 523 of the family's 1533-position model. The record is from RNAcentral.